UACGUAGGUGACCAGCGUUGUCCGGAUUUACUGGGCGUAAAGAGCGCGCAGGCGGUCGUUCAAGUCGAGUGUGAAAGCCCCCGGCUCAACUGGGGAGGGUCAUUCGAUACUGAUGGACUGGAAGGCAGGAGAGGGAAGCGGAAUUCCCGGUGUAGUGGUGAAAUGCGUAGAUAUCGGGAGGAACACCAGUGGCGAAGGCGGCUUCCUGGCCUGUUCUUGACGCUGAGGCGCGAAAGCUAGGGGAGCAAACGGG
This 253-nucleotide ribosomal RNA is filed under the name uncultured bacterium. RNAcentral's name for it is "partial 16S ribosomal RNA". It matches the Rfam family "Bacterial small subunit ribosomal RNA", at positions 524 to 776 of the family's 1533-position model. The record is from RNAcentral.